CACAACACCACAGGACACCUACAAGUAGAAGGAUAUCUGAUCAAAGAAAUGCAAGAACUUUAUGAAAAAACUUGCAAAUCUUUUUUUGAGGGCUGCAGAAGAAACAGUAUAAGCAGGCUAAAUAUGUGCUAAUAAAUAUCAAAUUUUCAUGUCAUUGACAAGACGAUUUCAUACUUCUUACGGACCUAUAAAGGCUGAGAUGAGCCAAGACAAUUUUGAAUAAGCACUGGGCCUUGUUCUACAAGAUGGAGACACUUAUCAUAAGCUAUACUAAUUAAGACAAGAGAGCGUUGCCGUGGAAAUAGAACCAACAGAUCAAGGGGACAGAACAGAGAGCUUAGAAACAGACCCACGUAGGUAGAGUAACAUGGUUCAUGACCAAGGGGGCAUUUUUAUUUUUACCGGAAAAUGGAAAAAGGGAGACGAAACGAAAGCAGACCAAUAACCCCAACGAGAAUAAUAAUCGCGAACACAUGUUAGGAGAUACCAGCCAGGCACUGUUCAAAGGCUUUAUGUGUGUAACUCACAGAAUCCUCACCCCCUCACGGUAGCCCUCGCGGUAGCAAAGAUACAGAGAAGUCAGAAAACCAACCCCAGGACACAGAACUAGCAACUGGAUCCCCAGGAUCCCAACCAAGACUCCAGACCCGUGGCAAACCCCAGGAUGUUACCUGUGCUUCUACAAAGUGGCUACAGCUUGGAGGUUUUAACAACCUCUUUGCGACUGGUUUAGAAGAACAGAAAAACAACAAGGCCCCAAACCAAGAUUCCAUGAAAACUUUGGUUGAACACAAUCUUUAUUUCAGGAAACAUGCUGAGGAGAUGGUAUUUUA
This is a long non-coding RNA of Herpailurus yagouaroundi (jaguarundi), 833 nucleotides long. RefSeq lists it as uncharacterized. The record is from RefSeq and is a predicted model, not a curated record. The transcript is spliced from 3 exons. NCBI's taxonomy places the organism in Eukaryota, Metazoa, Chordata, Mammalia, Carnivora, Felidae.